AGUCGAGCGCACCUUCGGGUGAGCGGCGGACGGGUUAGUAACGCGUGGGAACAUACCCUUUGGUACGGAAUAGCCUCUGGAAACGGAGAGUAAUACCGUAUGAGCCCUUCGGGGGAAAGAUUUAUCGCCAAAGGAUUGGCCCGCGUUAGAUUAGGUAGUUGGUGGGGUAAUGGCCUACCAAGCCUACGAUCUAUAGCUGGUUUUAGAGGAUGAUCAGCAACACUGGGACUGAGACACGGCCCAGACUCCUACGGGAGGCAGCAGUGGGGAAUCUUGGACAAUGGGGGCAACCCUGAUCCAGCCAUGCCGCGUGAGUGAUGAAGGCCUUAGGGUCGUAAAGCUCUUUCGCCUGUGAAGAUAAUGACGGUAGCAGGUAAAGAAACCCCGGCUAACUCCGUGCCAGCAGCCGCGGUAAUACGGAGGGGGUUAGCGUUGUUCGGAAUUACUGGGCGUAAAGCGCACGUAGGCGGACUGGAAAGUUGGGGGUGAAAUCCCAGGGCUCAACCCUGGAACUGCCUCCAAAACUAUCAGUCUAGAGUUCGAGAGAGGUGAGUGGAAUUCCGAGUGUAGAGGUGAAAUUCGUAGAUAUUCGGAGGAACACCAGUGGCGAAGGCGGCUCACUGGCUCGAUACUGACGCUGAGGUGCGAAAGUGUGGGGAGCAAACAGGAUUAGAUACCCUGGUAGUCCACACCGUAAACGAUGAAUGCCAGUCGUCGGGUAGCAUGCUAUUCGGUGACACACCUAACGGAUUAAGCAUUCCGCCUGGGGAGUACGGUCGCAAGAUUAAAACU
This 792-nucleotide ribosomal RNA is filed under the name Ruegeria sp. AU79_Ted3_MBdef. Its description in RNAcentral is "bacterial SSU rRNA". It matches the Rfam family "Bacterial small subunit ribosomal RNA", at positions 60 to 901 of the family's 1533-position model. Lineage: Bacteria; Pseudomonadati; Pseudomonadota; Alphaproteobacteria; Rhodobacterales; Roseobacteraceae. The record is from RNAcentral.